CCGGUCCCAUUCCGAACCCGGAAGUUAAGCCUCUCAGCGUCGAUGGUACUGCACGGGUGACCUUGUGGGAGAGUAGAACGUCGCCGGAC
RNAcentral lists this ribosomal RNA (89 nucleotides) under Actinomycetota bacterium. Lineage: Bacteria; Bacillati; Actinomycetota. The record is from RNAcentral.